GGAUCAUAUAUCGCCAAAGAUGAUUUAAACGCGAGUAGAAUUUUACCUUUACUAUACGUGAAAAGGGGCGUCACUAGCUUAUAGUUCUCGGGAUACCUGAUGGUAUACAGUUUUGUCCAAGAUGCUUUAACUCCAUAUUCCUUCAUUACCCACACAUCAGAGUGAUUUCUCUCAUCAUUACUAGAGAGGAACGAAAGAUCACCUUGCAACACUCCAAGCUUCAAUUCUUGUUCUUCUUUGCAGCUAGGCAGCUCCAACUUUCCCCAUUUCUCUUCAACCAAAUCAAUACACGAGAUGCCCCAACCACGUCUACGAUAAGUAAUCCAAUGAAGUUUACGAUGCACAAAUUUAGCAUCACCACAGUAAGUCACCCCAGGUUUAAAAUC
Molecule: unclassified non-coding RNA, 386 nt
Filed under: Hevea brasiliensis (rubber tree)
Lineage: Eukaryota; Viridiplantae; Streptophyta; Magnoliopsida; Malpighiales; Euphorbiaceae
Source: RNAcentral